GCUUACGGCCAUACCACCCUGAGCGCGCCCGAUCUCGUCUGAUCUCGGAAGCUAAGCAGGGUCGGGCCUGGUUAGUACUUGGAUGGGAGACCGCCUGGGAAUACCAGGUGCUGUAAGCU
Molecule: ribosomal RNA, 119 nt
Organism: Betta splendens (Siamese fighting fish)
Lineage: Eukaryota; Metazoa; Chordata; Actinopteri; Anabantiformes; Osphronemidae
Source: Ensembl